RNAcentral lists this unclassified non-coding RNA (3261 nucleotides) under Hevea brasiliensis (rubber tree). Lineage: Eukaryota; Viridiplantae; Streptophyta; Magnoliopsida; Malpighiales; Euphorbiaceae. The record is from RNAcentral.
GAUCUAUCAAAUCUUUAUUUUGCAAAAAAAAAAAAAAGAGGAAACAUGAACAAAAAUUUUCCUACAAACAAUUUAGAAAGAAUUUCAAACAAGGAAUUGAAUUUUAACAUGCUUAUUUUAAAAAUGAGGGUAAUUUGGUCAUUUGAAUUUAACUUUAUUACUAAGAAAAAACAUAAUUGACUUGAAGAUAUGAUCCCAAAACAAAAUUUCCCACCCCUCUUCUUGUGCUCACCAUUUCAUUCAAAUGCUGUUUGGCUCCUAUUUUUUGCUGUCAACCUAAUACCUUAAAAUACCCCUUGUUUGUGCUAUUUUUGUCAGAAAUUUAGGAAGAUUAUUGUGAUCAUCCUUGAACCCCAAACUAAUAGGAGAGAGGCACUUUAAGUGCUUAUUUCAAUCUUUCAAAAUUAUAGGAUUCUUUUAUACUAAUAUUGUUGUGAAAAAUAAACUCGAUAUGACAAACAGAACACAAUGUUUAGGUGGUUUGGUAAUUAGCUACUCCACAAAUCAAUUCAUUAUUAUGGGAAAAAUAAUACAACCACUAAUCAACCUUACACACUCACAAACCCUUUAACUCAAUACCCCCAAUGAUAUUUACCCUCUCAAACUACUAACUAGUGCUCUCUCUAGCCCUCUCACACAUUCAAGCUGAGAGAACUUCACUUGCACACGCUAGCUUUGCUUUCCAUGAGACUUGGCUAUUUAUAGCUGUGUGGAGCUUGAUCCCCAAGCAAAUGUGGAGUGGGCACCAAGUAUUACUGUAGAAUGCUUGGUCCCAACUCAAAGUAAGCUUCCUAAGAAGCUUCAAGUUUUGCAUUGCAUUUUUAUUCUUCUUCUUAAUGUUAGGAUUAUGGGCUGGAUCAUAACAAAUACCUUAACUUCUUGAAUCUUAAAUCAAUUGGACAAUAGGUGACUUAGGUGUUUUUUAUAUUCCUAGAUUUUAUAUUUUAGAAGCAAAGUCAAUGAAUAAAAGAGGUCCAUAGAUUUUAAAUCUAAAUGACUAUUCAUGUCUUAGUCGAGUAGAUUAGAAUUAUCUUCUCUUUGAGAAAAAGAAAAUCAUCUUUUGCAGUAACUAUAGUAAUUUUCUUUAUCUUUGCCAUAAAAAAGUAAGAUCGCAACUGUUUGUCCUUUAAAAACAUAUCAUUAAGAACUUCUCCACUUUGAAGAUUCUAGCCUGCUAUACAUUCCUCAAGAUAUUCGAGGUUUAAGUUUCUCACAUUGAAGAUGUUUUUGUACUUUGAAAAUUUGAUGCAUGCAGGAUCUCUUCAUUAGCUCAACAGUUUAGGUUCCUCAAGACAAGUGCUUGAGUGCAAAGGAUUGUUGUCCUGUUGCUUUGGAUGGGUCAAGACUCAGGGAGAGAGGUGGCUUCCCCUCGAUGUGUAUCCUCAGGCCUCCAAGGGACCAAAUAAAAAAAUGAUGGGUAUUUAUGCACUAAUAAAAAUUUUGCAGCCAUAUCUGGACUCUUUGAGUAAUGUCAAAAUCUUAUUGCAAAGUCAACAUUCACUAUAACAAUCAAUUAAUAGAUAACUAAUGGAUGCUCUAGAAUGCAAGUUAAUAUCUAAACUACAUGAUACAAAACAUAUUUGGAUAGGCAGAAUAGAGAUUUUAACUUAAGAAAAAUCCCAAGGAGUUCUUCAUUUUUCCCAAAUUCUAAAAUGUUCGCACCAAUAUGGUACAUCGGUCAAAAAAUUCAGCACAAAGAAACUUGUUUUCAAGCUAGACAACUUAGACUAUAAAAGGAACAAACCUGACUAUUUCUAUUUUGACAACGCCUCAUCAGGCUUUGCAGAUGGAUCUUGCAACCCACAGACCAUGUUUGCAGGAACAGCUAUGUCAAUCAUCUUUGGAUAUGGAAGGUUUAGAUCUGCAAAAUACAGAUCAAGCAUAAAAUUCACCCUUGAAUAGCUGUACAAUGAGCAGCAGUGUUAAAUAGAUACCAAGUAUAGAUGUCACUUACUUGCCAUAAUACUCUUAAACUCUUCCUGAAAAGUAUAUCAAUUUUCACACCAAUUAGAGAUAAUGGUGAGAAGUAUUCAUGUAAAGAAAAACAGACAGAAAUAUGGAUAAUUUCAAAUUUCACUAUUGUGCUUAAUUCUGCCAAAAUUAAUAAUAAUCAAUCAAGAGGCAAACAAAGCUAGUGAAUCACGCAAAUUUUGUAGGUACAUGCAAGUUUGUCAUGGUAACAACAGUAUAAAUUGCACUGAUACACUCAUAAUACAAUUGAUAAUAAUAAGGUAUAAAGUGAAAUCUCCCUAUACAAAAGAAAAUAAAAAAGACAUAAAAUGAAACAAGAGGCCUUAAGGAUCACCUCGUCUUUGGUAAGCCUGGGGUUAUAUAGCAUUUCCUCUCCAACGGUACUAACCUGCAACUCACACAAAGGUUUAGCAUGAUCAUGAAAAAGUAAAUAAUCUAAUAAGAGAUAAGAAAUGAUUUCGUACAGUGAAUCCCUUGUAAUCAUGAGCAGGAUAGAGCAAAGUUUCCUUUGGCAAGGUGAAUAUCUGUGAAUGCACUGACUGAUAGAGUUGUUGUGAACUUCCACCCUGAAAAUCAGUUCUUCCACAUCCCCGUAUUAGUAAAGCAUCCCCAGUGAAAGCCAUUCUUGGCUGGGGUUGAUCAGGCGCAUCUCCAGUAACAUAAGUAACACAACCUAAAGUAUGGCCAGGAGUAGCUCGAACCUCCAGAAAUAAAUCACCAAAAUGUAUCUUAUCGCCAGCUUCAAUAAGAACAUCAGCUUUUGAUUUGCUUGCUUUUGAAAUGAUAGAUUUGACACCAGGAACCCUCGUCUUUACCAAGCCAGUUCCUGUUAUAUGAUCAGCAUGUACAUGGGUGUUCAUGGCAUAAAUUAGCUUCAGCCCUAGUUCUUUCACAAGGGUGAGGUCUCUGUCUACUGUCCUGUCAACCGGGUCAAUCAACAGAGCAGGCUUAUCAGGGUGAUCGACGUCGGCGAGCAAAUAGGUAUAGGUAGAGGAUUCCUUCUCGAAAAGCUGGCGAAACAAGAGCUUGUUUGAGUACCAAGAAGAAGAAGAAGAAGAGAACGACGCCGUAUGGUUCCUCAUAGCGUAAAAUGCGUUGCAGGGCUUCUGUGGAAGGCAGAGAAUCGAGCGAAAGAAGCAGGGAGUGGAAAGACAGAGUCGAAACAUUGUUGGUGUUCUUGUUGGUUAUAAUGAUCAAGUUGGCGAUGAAAUCGAUUAGCUAACAGGGAGUAGUGUCAGUGGUUGAAUCCAUCGCCCAUGCGCUCCGCUGAAUGACAAAACCAUGUGCCGU